UACAGAGGGUGCAAGCGUUGUUCGGAAUUAUUGGGCGUAAAGCGCAUGUAGGCGGUCUGUUAAGUCGCGUGUGAAAUCCCUAGGCUUAACCUAGGAAGUGCGCGCGAAACUGGCGGACUUGAGUGCCGGAGAGGGUCGCGGAAUUCCCGGUGUAGAGGUGAAAUUCGUAGAUAUCGGGAGGAACACCAGUGGCGAAGGCGGCGACCUGGACGGACACUGACGCUGAGACGCGAAAGCGUGGGGAGCAAACAG
RNAcentral lists this ribosomal RNA (252 nucleotides) under uncultured bacterium. RNAcentral describes it as "partial 16S ribosomal RNA". It matches the Rfam family "Bacterial small subunit ribosomal RNA", at positions 524 to 775 of the family's 1533-position model. The record is from RNAcentral.